UGGACAGAAAAAGUCAUUUGUGAACCAUUAUGUUUUACUUUUAAAGUUCAAACAUGUUUCAAAAAUGAAACCUAUUAUCAUAGUCUUUGUAUUGGUUAGUUAUCCAAGCUGCAAAAGUACUUAUCAUUAGUUUUUUCCAGACAGUUAUUAUUUGCUCUGUUUUCAGGCUAUACAUUUCAUCUCAUGUAAUAUUUUUAUAAACUUUAGCAGUUUGCUCGGAUGGUUGAACUACAAGUUGUUGCUUAUUUUGUUUUUCAACUGUAGUGGCUCCUGCUGCAAGUUCAAUGACAUCUGGAAAGCUCACACCUUUGAAUAAAGAAAGCACCUUAUCGUGUCUGGAGGCUCUCUGCAGACUGUCACUUUCUGACUGCUUGGGAACUUGAUACCCUAAUUAGUACUCCUUUACUAGAGGUAAACAGUUAUGGAAAAUAUCCACAAUCUUCAACAGUUCUUCCUCUCAAUUGUCUGGGUCUCGUUCCAGAAAUUGCGUAUCUUCGUGCUGAAAACACUGGAAGUGUGCAGAUGAUUCUGAAAACAUGUAUUCUGGAGGAUGUGUAUAUACAGAUGCAAAUUAGAAUAAUCCAAUUGAUACUCCAUUAAAGGUUUUUAUCAAAUUCAUUUCAUCAUAUUAUUGUCUGCCUAAAUUAUGUAUGGAAAUUAAUACUCAGUAGAUUGUUAAAUACUGUUGACCAAACUGGAUUUCACAGGAAAUAUAUUUCUGAGAAAUGUUUUCCUGUUGGUUUUUUUCUUAUCUUAAAAACAAUGCUGGCACUCAGCAAAAAACAACAACAAAUACUACCAAAGAGAACACGGUGAAAAGAGAUGGCCCUGCCUCCCCAUCCUCCAGCCUUCUUCUUUCCCCUCAGAGGCACGGUUACCUGAUUCUUCUGGGGAAUUACAGAGGUAAUACUGGAAACAAGUAUCACGAGACAAGAGCUGUUGGAAUUUGGCCAAAAACGCCACGUAAGAAUUACUUGAGAAAAUCAAUACAGCCUGAAUGAAAGCAACAUUGGUAUACAACAAGUCUUUAAAAAUAAGUAAUUCUCUCACGGAGUAAAUCAUCUCUUCCAAAAUAAAAAGCAUAUGUGUACAUGCAAAAUAGUUUAAAAAGCUAACAAAACUAUCUUAACUAUAGGAAAAUGGCAAAUUUUAGUGAGUAAAAGAUUGUUUUUAAUUACAAAGUAAAAGAAAUUUAGAAUUUUUAAUUGUUUAAAGUUCACUUUUUAAUGGGAUAAAUAAAUGUUGAUCUGUGAAGCGUAGUUUAUGCUUGAAUGUUGUGCAUAAGUCAUUCUAGGAGUUAGAUGAUGGAAAAUGUGGUCAUUGUUUUGUGUUUUAUGUACUUACCAUUAUAAACAUAUAAAAUACUCUCAAAGAUCUGAAAGAGAACUAUUUCACAUACGAAGUUUUAGUUUUCUGUAAAUAGUCUGGUAUGUAUGAAGAUUUCUUCUGGAGUUAAUUCUCUUAAAUGCAGUGUUUCUUUAGAAUAAUCUGUGGUAGUGCAUAUAUGAUUGAGCUGUCACUAUGAACAUAAUUGAUGACCAUCUGUCUGCCUGAUGCAGCUCUUAUGAACAAUUUGCAGAGAUUAAAAGGGUGAUGGAAAUGGUGCUUUAGGAAUUGCUUUCUAAAGACACCAGAGGAUCGAAAAGAAACCUGGGGUUUCCAGUGCCCUCUGAAAUCAUUUUCACAUAAAACCCAGGUUUAGUAGGUAUAAGUGUUGUUUAAGUGCUCAGCUCUUGAAAAAAAAUAUUUAUGUGGCAUAAAGAGAUGAUUUGGUCAUGAAUCUUAAAUGAUCAAAUCAGAGUGUCUGUUCUAUACCUGUUUCAAAAGGAGAAAUGGAGAAUCUUUUACCUAUUCAGUAUUCCAUAUGUACUUCCAUUUAAGUACAUAGGCAAUAAAAGAAUAUAGAUAAAUACUCAUGAAAGUAAGAAGCUAAGAUGUGGCUGAAAGAAGCAUCAACUCUAUGGGUCAUAAAGCCUAUUGAGUUCCUAUAGUUGAGCCUCAGUCUUGGUUGUAAGCUGAAAAGCCAGUUAAACUUUUUUUGGGGAGGGGGGGUGGUAGAGCAACCCCCCUCCUCUGAUUCCUCAGGAAAAGAAGGACUUCCUAAUACUGUGCUCUGAAAGAAAUUCCUCAUGGGGGCUUCACAUAGGAAACACUGAAUAUAAAAUUAUUAAUAGUUCUCUAGCAGAUGGAGUUAUUUCCUGAAGUUAGCUUGUUAUAGUGGCUAUUUGUCAACAAUUUGAGACCUCAACACCAGCUCAACUAAGGUAACUCCAAGGUGUGGGUGCAAAGUAAGCAGCCUGGUCCAGAUGUGUAACCUUCUGAUGGCCAAGGAAUAAACUCCACACCUUUCAAAGAAGACCUCAUAAAAACCACAACAUUGUUAUGCUUUCCCUACUACAAAGUUCUUAUACCGAGGCUAUGACCCUCUUAACUUGCAGGUAUCAGUCCAGUUCAAUACUUUGAUGCCACAUUGUAAGUUUGGUUUCCUCCCAUAAAGCCCUCUAAAUAUAAGAAGGUAUUAUAUUAAUCAUAUUAUCAUACUGUGUCUCUCCUUUUCACAGAAAAAUUUCCCAGAACAAAAACAUCUAUAAUGAACAUACACAGUUAUUACCCAAGAAUUUAUCAAGUGAUUACUAUUUAUCAAGUGAUUAUCAAGAGUGCCCUG
This 2665-nucleotide long non-coding RNA is filed under the name Bos grunniens (domestic yak). RNAcentral describes it as "lncRNA (ENSBGRG00000006776.1)". The record is from RNAcentral. Lineage: Eukaryota; Metazoa; Chordata; Mammalia; Artiodactyla; Bovidae.